UUAGGGAAACUGGCUCUACCUUUAUGACUUGGAUCACACAAGGAUAUGCUUUUCAUUUUGGACUAGAACUGAGAGUAUUGGCCAAUGGAUGUGUUUUCUAAAACUAUCCCAGUGUGUUCACUAUACAGAGGAAGAUUCUGAGAUUCAAGACUCAAGACUGAAGAAGAUCAUUAUUUUUAUUAUUUUAGUCUUAUGCACAAAAUGGUAUCUACUGAAUAAGCAGGUUUUUAAUAGCCCAUAGGAUAAGAAGAAACCAAGUCCUAAAAGUAGGCCAGCACCAGGAUUCAGGCCUCUGACUUCAAGCCAAGGGCUCAUCAUCUUGAAUUGCGCACGAAUUUUUACACAGCGCCAAAGGAAACUGCCUGUACUUACUGUUGUAGGUAAGACAAACCUUUGCUUAUUUUUACUUCUCAUGAAUAAAUAGUUGCAAGAAGAACUGCUG
Molecule: long non-coding RNA, 442 nt
Organism: Pan paniscus (pygmy chimpanzee)
Lineage: Eukaryota; Metazoa; Chordata; Mammalia; Primates; Hominidae
Source: Ensembl